RNAcentral lists this ribosomal RNA (260 nucleotides) under uncultured Bacillota bacterium. RNAcentral's name for it is "uncultured Firmicutes bacterium partial 16S ribosomal RNA". It matches the Rfam family "Bacterial small subunit ribosomal RNA", at positions 338 to 590 of the family's 1533-position model. Lineage: Bacteria; Bacillati; Bacillota. The record is from RNAcentral.
CCUACGGGAGGCAGCAGUAGGGAAUCUUCCACAAUGGACGAAAGUCUGAUGGAGCAAUGCCGCGUGAGUGAAGAAGGGUUUCGGCUCGUAAAACUCUGUUGUUGAAGAAGAAUGGGUGUCAGAGUAACUGUUGACAUCGUGACGGUAUUCAACCAGAAAGCCACGGCUAACUACGUGCCAGCAGCCGCGGUAAUACGUAGGUGGCAAGCGUUGUCCGGAUUUAUUGGGCGUAAAGCGAGCGCAGGCGGUUUUUUAAGUCU